Gambusia affinis (western mosquitofish) is the source of this 772-nucleotide long non-coding RNA. RefSeq lists it as uncharacterized. Lineage: Eukaryota; Metazoa; Chordata; Actinopteri; Cyprinodontiformes; Poeciliidae. The record is from RefSeq and is a predicted model, not a curated record. The transcript is spliced from 3 exons.
CCCUGAUCUGGCAACAUCCUCCGUUUUUCAGGUUUUAUUGCACAUCCUGGAAGGCUCACCACUCUCAGAUAGAGCAACUCAGAGACACACACUGGACAAAUAACCAGGAACCAACACACCCGGACCUGAGGCCCUUUUUUACAGCUAUGUUGACAACAACGUCAAUCUGAAGAAGUAAUGCGGGUCGUAAAGAGACAGACAUUAGCGUUUGACGACUUGGUGGUGAAAAGUGUCUGAUGGCAGCCCUGAUGUUCCUCGUUUACACCAAACCGGGGGAUUCUGCAUGUCAUAACACAAGACGCUCAGUGUUUCCCAGAGACUCUGGAGGAACGGGACUGCAUCAAAGUCUGACCUAGCUGCAGAGCGUGGAUCAGAAGGAUGUUGAAUUUAUUGUUAUCACCCACUCUGCGCUUCCUUUCUCCACUUCCUUUUUCCUCCCGAACCAGCAGCGCCGUGGAGCAAAAGCCUUCGUUUAUAAGUGUGUGUGUGUGUGUGUGUGUGUUGUUUAUGUCACACAUCAAAUUAUUGCCUUUUACUGACCUGAUUUUUUUAAAGCUAAACUAGAAUAUCAAAGCUAUGUUGGUUUAUUCUGAAUUCAGAUUGCUCAACACAAUGGCCGUAAUGGCUCUUUAAACUUGUGCAUGAUGUGUGUGUGUGUGUGUGCACACGCGCGGGCGUGUGUUUGUGUUUAUUUUUUAAACCCAGAAAAAGGCCACUAAUUCCAUUCCAUCUUUAGCUCCAUUGUGGGUGAAAACCCAUUAUCUGUCCCAGC